CGCAACGUGGCCUCUGUGGUCCCCAUGGUGCUCAGAGAGGGGCUGGCUGCACAGCAGGUCCCUUGAGGAAGGGCUUGGGCUGGAAGGUGGAAGGCAGAGGUUGGCACCAAACCCUUCAGAGCAGCAAUCCCCGACUGCUGCUCCUGGUUCGUUCUCCAUCCCCACGCUUGUCCCUGCGCCCUGAGAGAAAUGGGGCUGAGGGCUGAGGACCAGCUCUGGUCGGAGAGAGCAGGUACACUGGAUGCUGCUGUGGCUGAGUCUGGAGGGGACAAGGUCAGGCCUUAUCCUGUACAGAACACGCUGAUGUGAAACCAGCUCCUAUGUUGGGAAUGUGCAUUAUCCCACUGCAGGAUAAGGGACCCAGGGUGAUUUCCCAAGUGGAUGGGGCUGCUCUGUCUGUCCCCCACUGCCAUGGAAAUCAGCAUCUAGCAAAGCCUGACCCAUUGCUGUGAGGCUUUUCUAGAGAGCCGGUGCCUUUUCUGCUUCCUUUGGAGGCUUGUCUUUACAGGGGAUGUUGCUGGUGAUGAUCUGGAGGGAGAUAAAUCUGUUUGUGUGUAUCUGCUUUAAAGGAAUGUAGAGGCCUGAGUAAAUCCAGCAUCCGCCUUUAUGACAGGCACUGGCAGAGACUGGGAUCAGAGCAAAGAGCUGCUGGGAGCGUGGCAGCUCUGAGCCCAUCCCAGCACACACAUUCUGCAUCCUGUCCUUACGCUGGGCGGCAUGCGAUGCCCAUGCCACUGUCACACAUGCCUCCAUUUUUGCUUGCUCUGCAUGCAGUCAAAGGAGAUACCUGGGGGCUGAGACCCCACCUUCCCUCCCUCCUCCCCACUGCUGUCAUCUGCUUUCUGCUAACCCUGCACGCAUCAUGGAGGGAGGAAGAGAAAGGAAAGGUAUGAAGCAAAUCCCAGGCUGGAGUGGGAUGUUUCUCAGUAUCAGACAUCACCCAGCAGCAUGGAAGCCCAGAUGAUGCUGUACUCACCAGUGCC
Molecule: long non-coding RNA, 983 nt
Organism: Neopsephotus bourkii (Bourke's parrot)
Lineage: Eukaryota; Metazoa; Chordata; Aves; Psittaciformes; Psittacidae
Exons: 3
Source: RefSeq, a predicted model, not a curated record